ACACACAGGUCAUUUUGUGUCUGGAAGAUUACAUUAUUGUAAUUUUUAAGUUUCUUAUGUGCUAUAUAAAUAGUUGAGGGUUAAUCAACAGAAUAACUGUACAUAGGAAUGUUGCCAGUCUCAGACAAGA
Molecule: small nucleolar RNA, 130 nt
Filed under: Jaculus jaculus (lesser Egyptian jerboa)
Lineage: Eukaryota; Metazoa; Chordata; Mammalia; Rodentia; Dipodidae
Source: RNAcentral